RNAcentral lists this non-coding RNA (868 nucleotides) under Perkinsus marinus ATCC 50983. RNAcentral's name for it is "Eukaryotic small subunit ribosomal RNA". It matches the Rfam family "Eukaryotic small subunit ribosomal RNA", at positions 1 to 864 of the family's 1831-position model. Lineage: Eukaryota; Perkinsozoa; Perkinsida; Perkinsidae. The record is from Rfam by way of RNAcentral.
CACCUGGUUGAUCCUGCCAGUAGUCAUAUGCUUGUCUCAAAGAUUAAGCCAUGCAUGUCUAAGUAUAAGCUUUAAACGGCGAAACUGCGAAUGGCUCAUUAAAACAGUUAUAGUUUAUUUGGUGAUCGAUUACUAUUUGGAUAACCGUAGUAAUUCUAGAGCUAAUACAUGCGUCAAGGCCCGACUUCGGAAGGGCUGCGUUUAUUAGAUACAGAACCAACCUAGGCUCCGCCUAGUCCUUGUUGGUGAUUCAUAAUAACCCGGCGAAUCGCACGGCUUGUCCGGCGAUGGACCAUUCAAGUUUCUGACCUAUCAGCUAUGGACGGUAGGGUAUUGGCCUACCGUGGCGUUGACGGGUAACGGGGAAUUAGGGUUCGAUUCCGGAGAGGGAGCCUGAGAAACGGCUACCACAUCUAAGGAAGGCAGCAGGCGCGCAAAUUACCCAAUCCUGAUACAGGGAGGUAGUGACAAGAAAUAACAAUACAGGGCAAUUCUGUCUUGUAAUUGGAAUGAGUAGAUUUUAAAUCUCUUUACGAGUAUCAAUUGGAGGGCAAGUCUGGUGCCAGCAGCCGCGGUAAUUCCAGCUCCAAUAGCGUAUAUUAAAGUUGUUGCGGUUAAAAAGCUCGUAGUUGGAUUUCUGCCUUGGGCGACCGAUCCACCUUUCCUACGGGAUUGGUUGGUAUCAGGUUUGACCUUGGCUUUUUCUUGGGAUUCGUGCUCACGUACUUAACUGUGCGUUGACCGUGUUCCAAGACUUUUACUUUGAGGAAAUUAGAGUGUUUCAAGCAGGCUUAUGCCAUGAAUACAUUAGCAUGGAAUAAUAGGAUAUGACUUCGGUCAUAUUUUGUUGGUUUCUAGGACUGAAGUA